This is a long non-coding RNA of Limulus polyphemus (Atlantic horseshoe crab), 100 nucleotides long. RefSeq lists it as uncharacterized. NCBI's taxonomy places the organism in Eukaryota, Metazoa, Arthropoda, Merostomata, Xiphosura, Limulidae. The record is from RefSeq and is a predicted model, not a curated record. The transcript is spliced from 3 exons.
CAAUAAAUACAUCAAGUCUUGACCUAGACAAGUGAGGAAGGACUUUUACCUAACAGUAAAAUUACCUGCCAAUAAGUACACCAAGUCUUGACCUAGACAA